AAAAAGACAAACUAUGGGUUUCCGUGUCCAACUUUGACUGUCCGUCUUAUAUAAAAUUUUUUUAUAAUUUGUAUUUUCAUUGUUGUUAGAUGAAAAACAUGAUUAAUAUUUUAUACGUGACUUUUUUUUUAAUUUUUUUUAUAUUUUUUUCAAAUAAGACGGACAAUCAAACGUUGGACUCGGAAACCAGGGUUUGUCUUUUU
Non-coding RNA from Oryza glumipatula, 203 nucleotides. The record is from Rfam. Lineage: Eukaryota; Viridiplantae; Streptophyta; Magnoliopsida; Poales; Poaceae.